Long non-coding RNA from Ostrea edulis (European flat oyster), 2666 nucleotides. RefSeq lists it as uncharacterized. NCBI's taxonomy places the organism in Eukaryota, Metazoa, Mollusca, Bivalvia, Ostreida, Ostreidae. The transcript has 4 exons. The record is from RefSeq and is a predicted model, not a curated record.
GGACAGCCAGACAGCGAAGAUGACGAAUCAGAUAUUGGUGGUGAAAUUUGCAAAGUGGCAGAAACAUGGUGGCAGGAACAACAGAGGAGGCAGAAAUAUGGAAAGUAGAUAAAAAUCCAGGUCAGCAAAUCUGGUAAAAAUAUGUUUGGAAAAUGCUGUGUAAGGUGUUGGUUUUUCUGGCGUCGACAGACGAAACAGACCGGUUUACAUCGUUGUCUUCCAUGAUGCAAUCAUCAAUCUCGUGUUUUCCGGAAACGCAAAGCUGAUUUUAGGGGAUAAAACUAAUACCGAUAAACCGUAUUUUCCCGGAAAGAGGAAGAGGAAAAGAGUUGGGUGGUAGACGGAGAGAAUAAGGAGGAUGUUGAAGAGUGGUGAAGACUUUUCUAGAUUCAUUUUCAGUAGAUGAUCCAUAGAGCCCCACUUUGGGUGCUGGAUACCUGACCCAGGGAAUUUCAUAAUAGAUGUUCCCAGCCAAUGUGAAAUAUGUUCAGUAGUAAAGACGAUAUUUAAGAUUUAAAGUUUUUUUUCACGAGAUGAUCAAGGUCGUACCCAUGUCAUUGAGCCUAAACCCUUAAUUCUAUCACAGAGGCCUCUCUAAACAUUGGUCCCCUGUACUCGCGUUUUAUAUGACAAUCAGUUAUUUUGAUGUUUUGUUGGGGUGUCCUUGCUUGUCAUGACUGCGCAUGCACAAUUGUUUGUCUGCUAGAUAACGUAAGUAAAAAAAAAAUUAAAUCUGUAUAGAUGUUUUGAUCUAACUCCUUAGGUACCAUAAAUAUUUCUUUUACCCUGACCUAGUUCAAUCAUUAACUAUAGUAACUAGAGUUGAUCCAAAGUACAAUCGAACUGCAUUUGGUCGAAACCGUAAAGGGUGUCAAUGAGCAUGUCUGGUCUACCACACACACACCAUCAUUGAACCGAAUAGCCGAUAACGCAUUUACCCGUGUGAUACAGCAACCUAUGAGUGCAGAGUGGUUGAACUUUAGAAACCACAUAUGCGCAUUGAAGGUCCGGAAGCAAGCUAGAGAUGCGCAAUGAAGUUUCGGAAGUCCUAUUACUAUAUGGUUGAUAAUAGAAUUCAUUCUCUACCCAGAGUUCCGUGCGCUACAAGCACUACAAACGGAGCUUGCGUAACGCGCCUUCUGUUGAGAGAAUGGAUCGAGCUACAUGUAGGUCCCUAUAGAUGCAAAACUCGAAUUUGUAGUUUUAAAAAAUCGGGGGGGGGGGGGACGAAUUAUAGUAGGGUACCUGAGGAAAUGAACUCACGGGACCGGAAAAUUAUUAUUAUACAUUUAUACAGCGAUUUAUCUAAUUAAGACAAUCACUUUAAAGCGCUUUACACGGAACACAAUAAAAACAACCUAAAACAAAGAAUAAUAGAUACAUAUAAAAGGGCAUAAAAUAAUACUAAAACUGAGGUGGUUUUUUUAAGUAAAUGAAAGUAUGUCACUUAAUACCUGUACAAGAAAUACAGAUGUAUUUAUUUCUGUAGAUAUAACAAUGUGGGACUAAUAGAAUCCUUCAUUAGUACGAGUGUGGGAUAGGGAAAUUCCACCGAGGGGACAAGAUUCGCAGUCUUGGACGAGGCUUUGCCGAGUCCUAGACAGCGAAUCUUGUUCCAGAGGUGGAAUUUCCCUACCCCACACGAGUUAAUAAUGAAGGAUUAUUUUUCUCACAUUUUACCUACAGUUUAGUGCAUAAAUUUAGGAGCUUUGAGAAAAUUCUUAAUUAUCAAAAUCCUCAUUUGAACUUCGAUGCAAAAACUAAUUAGAUAGGCAGAAAGAGCGUACCCGAAAAUGGUUUACACUGUAAGUGUAAACUAAAAAACCCAAGGUUGUCCAACAGAAAGCUAUAUACAUUAAAAUUUAAAGAUAACAAUGAAAAAUAUUUUUGCUUCACCGUGUAACGUAAAUCUUCACUGUGUAACGUAAAUCAUAGAAAAUAUAUGACGUCACAAUCAAAUGACGUCGCAGCAGUGUGAGACAGAAAAAUCUCACAUGGCUGUCUCACAUGGGUAAAGUCAAUCUCACACUGGUGAUAGUGUGAGAAAGAAAAAUCUAUGCUGUCUCAUUAUUUUCCAUGAAAAAAAUAUUGAUAUACAAUCACAACCUCACCUACUUUAUCAUUGUAUACAUGACCAUUUUGUAGUCGUAAGUGAUCGAAAUACAAUCUACCCUGCAGUCCUGCUGAGAAAUAUACAUCAAGUUAUCAUUUUACUACACAAUGAUGACCAAAAAAUAUAUAAAAGUCCAUUCCAAUGUUAUUAUAUGAAAAGCUUGUCCCAUGUAAACCGAUCCAAAUAGCAUGGUUUUUAAAAAACUUCUUUUCUUAGCUUUUCGUACCCUUCUGAAAUUCGUCGAGGCUGAUUAAUUUCUCAAUACAGUUCUUUGUCUGAUGUACAUGUAUAAUUUUGUAACUACAGGUGUACCUAAUCACCGCUGUGAGAUAUAAAGCCUCGAUUUAUUUAUUCUCUAAAUUAAUUUGAAGAAGAAAAAUGCAGUAAUAGGUCAUUUUCGUUUCAGAAAGAAACGGUCACAACUUUUCUUUGAUGUGGCGUGAACUCUGAAGAAAUUGAUGUUGUGAACUUUAAGUAAAAUGUCGUAAAAUAGUUCUUCACUGGAAAGGAUCGCCUGCAUGGCAUUAUCAAAUAAAGUAAUGUAGUACACUUA